RNAcentral lists this ribosomal RNA (484 nucleotides) under uncultured bacterium. RNAcentral's name for it is "partial 16S ribosomal RNA". It matches the Rfam family "Bacterial small subunit ribosomal RNA", at positions 30 to 507 of the family's 1533-position model. The record is from RNAcentral.
AUUGAACGCUGGCGGCAGGCCUAACACAUGCAAGUCGAGCGGAUGAAGGGAGCUUGCUCCUGGAUUCAGCGGCGGACGGGUGAGUAAUGCCUAGGAAUCUGCCUGGUAGUGGGGGAUAACGUCCGGAAACGGGCGCUAAUACCGCAUACGUCCUGAGGGAGAAAGUGGGGGAUCUUCGGACCUCACGCUAUCAGAUGAGCCUAGGUCGGAUUAGCUAGUUGGAGGGGUAAAGGCCUACCAAGGCGACGAUCCGUAACUGGUCUUAGAGGAUGACCAGUCAGACUGGAACUGAGACACGGUCCAGACUCCUGCGGGAGGCAGCAGUGGGGAAUAUUGGACGAUGGGCGAAAGCCUGAUCCAGCCAUGCCGCGUGUGUGAAGAAGGUCUUCGGAUUGUAAAGCACUUUAAGUUGGGAGGAAGGGCAGUAAGUUAAUACCUUGCUGUUUUGACGUUACCAACAGAAUAAGCACCGGCUAACUUCGUG